Molecule: unclassified non-coding RNA, 6481 nt
Filed under: Homalodisca vitripennis (glassy-winged sharpshooter)
Lineage: Eukaryota; Metazoa; Arthropoda; Insecta; Hemiptera; Cicadellidae
Description: kelch-like protein 6, transcript variant X3
Source: RNAcentral
UUCCGCGACAGGCAUUGAGGCAUUUCGAAAUGUGAAUUCAGGUUAAGUUAUGUUUUCGGUUAGCGGCAACGGUAACUACAAGGACACAUAAGAUUCAGAGUUACUACUACUAUUACUGCUACUACAGUUUUAGUUGUAGUAGUACAAUUAUCGGAGUAUCAGUACUUACCUCGACUGUGUGGGAUAGUUCGUGAUAAGCUGUGUUAUAAAAUACAAAAGCUCUGAAACCUUCGUUCGUAAAUACAUGUUCUUUUGAAUUGAAUUAUAUAAACUUAAACAGAAGAAAUGGAGGGUAUAGAAGUCCCAGAGGGUAUAGAAGUCCCAACUGAAGUCACAUUAAUAGUGAAAGAGUCACAGUUUCUAUGUGAUAGGAAGCUGUUGGCAGACCACAGUCCAUACUUUCAUGCCAUGUUUAAUAAUGACUUCAAGGAAAAACACGAGAAGCUAGUCAAUUUACAGGGAAUUGAACCAGAAGCACUUGAGUUUAUUAUGAAUGCAAUUCGUCAAACAGAGAUAGAUUUUACAAAAUCAAAAAACAUUCUGGAUGUUUUGGAAGCAACUUGUAUGUUACAGUUUGAUCAUGUUCAGAAAGAAUGCAUCAAGUUUAUAAUUUUUUCCUGGCUGGACAAAGAAACUUGGUUGCCUACGUCCAAUUUAGCUGACAAACUCGGCCUGACUGAACUAAAACAGAAAACUAAAACACUUGCUUUGUGGAAUUUUUCUAAAGUGAGGAAGACUGAACAGUUUCUAUAUUUAACUUCAGAAGAGGUGAUCGAAUUUCUCAGUGAUGACAGGUUACGGACUACCGAGGGGGAAUUCGAGAUUUUUGAAGCUGGCGUGAACUGGAUCGAGCACAGUCCAGAAGACAGAUUAUUUUAUUCUAUACCUUUAUUGAGUGUCGUUAGGUUCAAGGAAAUGGAGUCAUUUGACAUUAGGAACAUGUUACACUUCAGCAGUGUUAAAGACACUCCUCAGGCGGAAUUGAUAAUACAAUGUAUUCUUGAGAUGAAAGAUGGGAUUUUAAACCAAAACUGUGAGUCGUGUAAUCCAUCUAAUAUUGAUGAUCGAGACAGUAUAGAGUCUGGAAAAAGUUCACCUCUGCCUGCAGCAGGUAUAUUUUUUAAGAGUUUAAAACGAAAACGAAGAACCACUUCUCACUGUACAUGUUUUGAUCCCACUACUGUGAAAACCGCGCAGGAUCUGCUAGCAAGAGAACCUCGUUGCCUUCCGCUGUUUCCCUGUGUUGCAGCAAGUUUGCCUUUCAGCACUCACACAACAGCCAAAUCACCCCGAAUGAAGUUGAGAGAGAAGACUAAGUGGCCAUACAUGUUUCGAUGGAAUGGUGAACAAUUGGUUCCUUUCAUCUAUUUAUCCAAAAUCGAUGAGGGACCAGCAGAAGCAAUGGGUUAUAAAGUUGUAGUACAAGACUUGAAACUGUAUGUAAUUGGAGGAGAGUACAUGAUGGGCCAAGGCGAUUGGAAUACAUCUAUCUGGUUCUAUGAUACAUGGAGAGAAGUUUGGCAAUUUGAAACAAGCUUACCAUUCCCUCGACGCCAUCACUCUGCUGUCUGUGUGAACAAUGAAUUGUACGUCAUUGGAGGCGUUGGACGCCAUAGGGUCAUGUUGGAUUCUGUCACCAAAUACAGUCUGGAAACAAAGAGUUGGGAGACUUGCAGUCCUCUACCUAUACAUCUUUACUCUGCAGCGUGUUGUGUGUACAAGGACGACAUUUAUAUGUUCGGGUCCCAGUUAUACUGCUAUCGCCAGUCCAUAGCUAACUGGGAGAUCCUGAGCAAUAUCAGUCUGCCAGAUAACAUGUCUGUCGGCGCAGCAAUGACUGACAACGAAACUAUUUAUGUCAUUGGAAUCAACGCAAAGCUGUACAGUUUCAUCCCACAACCGAAGGAUGUAGAGAUCAAGUUCCUGGGUCAGUUUAAAAUAGCUGCCACCAACGCUUGUCUUGUCAAUGAUGCCAUCUACAGUUUCGCUGAGGAAGAUGACAUGCAGGUAGUGGAACAGUAUCAUUUAAAGAGAAAAACAUUUACAACUCUGUGGUACAACAAGAUAGAAGAUGAGGAAGAAACACAGGCUUCUGUCUGUUUAAAACAGGCAGUCGGGUGCUUUCCCCUUCCUAAAUACUAUUGAGCCAGUCUGUGAGAGGAAGUAAGUACAGUGUAAAGGGAUCUUUUCAAAAUAGAAAUGUCAUAUAAACGGUGAUGAUUAGUUUACCUAAAUCCAUUGUAUAUGUUUAAGUCUAAAGUGCUCACCAAGUUUGUAUCAUAUUUGUCUUCAAGAGAUGUUAAAAUUUUGAAGUUAUUGCAUCAUUUAAUUGAAUUUGUAUGCACAUGUAGUUAUAAAAAUACAUGUUUGUGUAAGCAACAAUGAAUUAUGUUAUAUGUUUUAAAGUUAAAUAACAGUUUUUAAGCAUCAUACAAUUUUUACAUACUUUUUAUUUUAUAAAUAAAUAUAUUAAUUUUUUUAUAUAUGAUACCAAAUGUACGUAUUAACAGUUUUCUGAAAGUACUUUUUAUGAGGUGGCUAAAACACUCUAAUAUUCUAGUUUGCACUCUUUAUUGUUGGAAACUUGUGAUAGAAGAUUGAAAUUUUAUAUGUAUAUACAUCUCUGUGACAAGCUACAUUGAUACAAAGACUAAACUACAAAGUUUGUUGUGUUGGAACAUUAUUAUUAUAAGAAUACUUACUUGGUUGUGUUACUAUUUUAUUUCCCUCUUGAAAAAUUUAAAAUGUAUAUGUAUUUAUUUUGGUAAUUUGAUUAGUUGUAAACUAAGGUAUACAAGUUAAAUUGUUUGAAUAAUGUUUAUGUUGUUAUGUUUUUACAAUUUUGUUAAAAAGGUGUUUUGUUACCUAUUUAGAAUUACUUGUUAUAGAAAUUAAGAGGCGGCAGGAAAAUGAAAUGGAAAACGUUAUAUUGAAACAAGUGAAAUUAGGGGCACAUGGACCCGUUGUACACUUAAACUGUAAAAUAAGAAAAUAGAAGUAAAUGUUUAAUUUAUUAUUACUGUAAAAUAACCAACAUAACACAAAUCAAGGAAGAUUGUGUUGAGAACUGGUCUGUUGAGCUGUCAACACCUAGAUAGCUUUAACAUAGAGCAAAACAUCUAUUAAUUUUCAGCAUAUUGACAAACAUUAUUUUUAAAGUGGCACAGUAGUUUUGCCUAAUAGUCACAGGUAACUUUUUUCAACAUUAGUAAUCUGUUUAUAAAACUAAGUACAAUAUUAAAGAAACUGAAUUUCUCAUAGAAAAUUACCACGAUUUUGAGAGUCUGGUACAAUAAAAUAAUCUGCAAAUAGCAGAAUUUUUCAGACUACCACAAACUUAAUAAACAAAUGAUUGUGAUGAUUUAUAAAGUUUAUUCAAAAGUUCAUGUAAUAAUAAGUAUUUCAAAGAGCCGAAAUUCAUUAAGUAUUCUUACUUGAGCACCUGGUAAUUCUAAGUGUAAUGAAACAAGAUGACACCUGCCACCUCUUACUGUUUUGUUAAUAGAGGGAAAGAUAUUUUUAAAUGUUACAACACAUGAUUCAGAAACAGUUUGUGAAUUGUUAGCUUUAAACAAAGCAAUACCAAUCAGACUUUAGAUUGACAGCUUCUCAGAAGUUUUACUACUUAUUAAUUCCUGGAAUUAGUUGAGCUGUCAGGACAAUGACUACACAGGGAACAAACAUUCAUUCUGUACAUAACUCACUUUCGUACAUUCGUUUGCCUAUGAUACUCAUGCGGGUACAAUAUUAAGUAUGAGAAUAAGUGUUAUAUUCAACAUUAAUGUAUAAUGCUUUAGUGUUCGUAAGUGCUCAAAUUACGAGGGCUGUUAAGAAAGUAAUGUACGUUUUGGAAUUAAAAAAAGAAACCAAGUACAAGAAAAACAUUUUAUUAUUUACAUGUGGCAGAGGGACUAAAAUACUGCUUUUCUACAUCAUCACUAUACAAAUUCAGGCACUUAUAGCGUUGGAUAAGCUUUGAAAUUCCUGUGUCAUAGAAUUCUGCCGCCUGUGUCUUCUGGCACCCAUCUUGCACAAAACUUCAUGGAAUCUAGCCGAACAAUUUCAAAUAAUAAAGUCAGUGAAACUUGUGGAAAACAUAGUGAAAUGGCGGUUUACACGGAUCUUUUCAUCAACUUUGGCAACCAGAUCGUCAGUCACAAUCAUUGAACGUCCACUCUUCUCUUUAUCAUGAACGUUUGUUCAGCCAUUUUAAAACUGAAUGCACCACUUCCUGAUAGAACUAUCAUUCAUUAUGGGGUCAACGUUGUUCCUGUACACUUCAUACAGUUCCAGAUGAAUUUCUAUUGGUUUAAAGUUUUUUCCAACAAAAAACGAACCACAGACCGCACAUCACAACUGGUGGCAUUUUUGAUUGCAGCACACAUUUCAAAUUUGAAUACAAAAAAGACUGGCAGUGUUGAGAUGUUCCUGUUGUCAUGCCUGAACGCUGACUGAGGUGCAGAGCACGAUCACCCCAAUAUAUAUGUGGUUGGCGCACACCUGGUGGCGUUAGGUGGAAACGUUCCUUACUUUCUGAAUAGCCCUUGUUUAAAAUUUGUUUUUAAAACAACUAUUGUUAUUUGUCAGGCAGCUUGUAAUUUUAGACAUGUUUUAAUCACAUUAAUGUGAUUUAUAAGUGCUGUGUGAUAUUAAAUUAGUCAAGAUUUGGUAGAAGAAGUAAAAUUUUAUGUUUCAAUAUGUUAUGUACAUAGGCAUCAUAAUAGAUAUAGUAGAAUGAGGUAACAAGGAUUUGUAUUUUUAACAAUGACUUGUAUCCAACUACUGUCUGUAAAAAAAUAGUUGCCUUGUCAAAAUUAAUUCUGAGGAGAACUUAUUUUGAGACUACUAACUAAUUAAGACUUAGUGAUAGUGAUAAUAAUAUAUAAGAAACUAUCUUUAACAUAAUAUAUAUAAUACUAGUUUUACCUUUGGUUUGUCUCAUACAAGUAAUGAUAGAUCGGCUUAUUUGUUGGUGGUUCUGACAUAAUUUAUAUGGAUUGGAAAUGUGUGAGUGAUAUGUUGACCAAAUGCGUUGUUUAACAGUUGAAAGGAAGUUAGUGAAGUUUGUUACAGCUCGAGACCAAUUGAUGUGUUAAAAAAGUGAAUGUAAAUGGUGGGAUCUUCAAUACAAGGACAGUUGUUUAUUGAAAAUGUUAUGUUUUACAACUUUCCUCACUAAAAAUAUAUAAAUUCAAUUCUUAUUUCAUGUAUUUACUUCUUAUUUAUAUUUUAUUAUAUUUAUGAGUCAAUUCAUCAACUAGGUAAUUAAACAGUAAAUUGAAUAGUUCAAAAAUUGUAUAAAAUUAUUAAAAUAUGGUCUCUAAAGUUAUGAAAUUAUUAAUUGAAAGAGUACAUGGGUACAUUGAUCUUUCACAACUCCCGGCGUACACUCGAUUAGGUACACGUGGGGCUUUUGUAAAGUCCGUCAUGCGCCCUUUGAGGUACAUAUUGCUAUGCAUUUCUUUAUUGAGUUUUUAUUGUUUACCUGUCUUGGUGGUUCGUUAAAUUUCAUCCCGCACUUAAAUAAAUACCUUAGAGUAUCAUGUAACCCUAACAUAGGAAAAAUAUAAGAAUUAAAGUAUUUAUUACAGAACUGUUUUGUGGCAAAGCAAUAAUGAGUUAUUCCAGAGCUGCCAGUUACAGUACUUAAAACGUUCUGGCAUUAUUAAGUUCUUGAAAUCAAUCAAUUUCAAGUAUUCAUGUCACUUUGUAUAUUUUUUUGGUAGCUGUACUUUACUAUAAUGUACUGAAAAUUCUCAUUAAGGAAUUGAAGCAAAUAAUUCAUUACCUGAAAGGAAGUACUCAAUCAAAUAUCAUAGAAUCACAGUAAAUCCAUCUGAUCCAAACCAUAAAAAUGCAGUACUUGCCCUAUUUUACUUAGAAAUAUUCCCUUAACUGCACCAUUUUCAUAUAUCCUCAAUAUCCUUUCCAAAUGGUUUUGUUGGUUAUUCUUUACGUUUUCAAUAAGUAAUUUUAAGAGCAUUAAAUAAAUUGUAAAAAUUUAAAGUAUACACAUUGUUACUGUACUAUCUGUAGUAAUACAUCAUUAGUAUUUUGUAUUAUUAUGUAAGUCAUUUGUGGGUACUGUCCAUAUCAGUUCAAGCAUUUAAAUUAUAACAUGUUUUUGUCGGAAAUUUCUGAAAGAUAGUUAGGUAGUGGCACAAACUGGCAACAUUGUUUUCAAUCAUUAUUUUACUCACAGUAUCCACUAGAGCCAAAUAAGUGGUUAAGGGAUUAAAUUGCCAUUUAAGAAACAUGUUAAUGCAUAUCAUUGCCUCAUGAAGGGUUACACAUUUUUUAGUUUACAAGAUCAAGACUGAUAAUUUAGUGUUUCAAUGUUGGCUAACUGUACUAAAACUAGUAGUGUACCUAUUAUACACACGCCAAUGGUUUUAGAAAGUGUUUAAAAAGUUGUAGUAUUUUAUGUUUUUAUCAUGAAUAUUGUGUUAAACACAUUUGAAGUAAAUAUUUUUUGUUGAUA